UUCAGUCUGAUUUCCCUCUCCUGCAUGCACCAGACUGGACCAAGCCUUUGAAAACAUGCAUACCUAAACAUGCAUUCAGGGAACAAGCCUGAACUGGUUCUCAGGAGCAGCAUGCAGGAUUAAAAAGUUGCCACUAGGCCACAUACCAAGUUUAUUGUGAACUUCGUAGGAACAGAGAGGAUAGAAUGCAGACCUUCACCCUUGGAAAGUAUGCUCACCUAUUCAGCUUCAGUGACUGGAAUGAUGACAAACCAAUCUUUACAAAAAUACCAUACUUUUUAGAAAAGAGAGCAUGAGUAUUGUUUUCUAAAGGAAAUGCAUUGCACUAUCCAAGUGCAACUCAUCAAGAUGUCAACUUGGAAUGAGAUGAAGCAUUUCCUGUUGUGGCCCAAUAUGUCCGUUGGAUCACAACCUUCAUACAAAAGAAGAUUACUCCUACUAUUACAGAUUACUCAUGUAAUCUUCUCUGUUUUAUCCGAGUGAUUCUGCCCUUGAGAUCUUGGCAAGCUACCAACCCAGACCUCAGUUGGGCAAAGCUUGGGUGCCCAUGCAUCAGAUUCCAUGUUGAUUGGUAGUGGUAAAAACAUACACAGGGUGAAAUGUCCUUUUUCAUGAUUCUGCUUACUGUUUAAAUAGUGCAAAAUGUAUGAGAGGUCAGGAGGAAAGCUAUGCCAGCUAUGUCAGGAGGAAAGGCUCUAAAUAUAGAAGGGGAAGUUAAUGCUCUAUCAUUUGAAGGCAAGCAGCAGCUGGCAAAGUACUGGAAUUUUCUCAAGAAUGGCACAUUAAUUUGACAUUAUUAGAAACCGGCUCUGGAUGAAACUAAAUGGAUCAUAAAAGGAUUAAUAAAAGAAUGUCCUAAAGAUUAAGAGCUUUCCAUUUUCUUUUUGGCAAUAAUAUAUUUGAGUUUUAUACAAUGGAAAAGAUUUAAUGAUCUUUUCACAUACACUUUACUUACACUGCUAUACAAUUCUUUUUGUUAUGGCCCUUAUAGAGGUGCUAGGAGGCUUGGUAGUAUAAGAUCACUGUACGCACAUUAAGAAAAAAAAUUUUUGAUCACUUGACAGAGGCAGGUGUAAGAAGGAGCUAGUUUAAACUUUUUAUUGUCCAAUCAUUUUGAUCCUUCCAGUAAGAACUGGAUGAACUUUUCAUAGUGAACAAUUCAUCUUCAUUUUUCCUCUCUACAAUUGUUGGAAAUAAACAUGGAUUAUACAAUCGUUUUAUGGGAUCAUGGGGGAAACUUUCAGUGUAAAGUGGGGAAAACAUAUCUGAAUAUAUUUAUGAAUACUCUUGA
Alligator sinensis (Chinese alligator) is the source of this 1291-nucleotide long non-coding RNA. RefSeq lists it as uncharacterized. The record is from RefSeq and is a predicted model, not a curated record. Lineage: Eukaryota; Metazoa; Chordata; Crocodylia; Alligatoridae. The transcript has 4 exons.